Molecule: long non-coding RNA, 1653 nt
Filed under: Homo sapiens (human)
Lineage: Eukaryota; Metazoa; Chordata; Mammalia; Primates; Hominidae
Description: HSALNT0315320
Source: RNAcentral
CUAGGUACCACCUGCGUCCUUCUGGGACUUUGUAUUUACUUACAUUUUUGUAAAAUAUAUACAUUUUUUAUUUUUGAGAGACAGGAUGUCACUCUGUCACCCAGGCUGGAGUGCAGUGGCGGCAUCAUGGUUCACUUCAGCCCUGAACUCUUGGGCUCCAGUGAUCCUCCCACCUCGGUCUCCCAAGUGGCAAGGACAACAAAUGUGUGUCACCACGCCUGGCCAAUUUUAUAUAUUAUAUUAUAUUAUAUUAUAUUAUAUUAUAUUAUAUUAUAUUAUAUUAUAUUUAUUUUGAGACGGAGUCUCGCUCUGUCACCCAGGCUGGAGUGCAGUGGCACCAUAUCGGCUCCCUGCAACCUCAGCCUCCUGGGUUCAAGCAAUUCUCCUGCCUCAGCCUCCCGAGUAGCUGGGACUACAGGCACGUGCCACCACGCCUGGCUAAUUUUUUGCAUUUUCAGUAGAGAUGGGGUUUCACCGUGUUAGCCAGGAUGGUCUCGAUCUCCUGACCUCGUGAUCUGCCUGCCUCAGCCUCCCAAAGUGCUGGGAUUACAGGCGUGAGCCACAGUGCCUGGCCUGUAUUAUAUUUAUUUUGAGACAGGGUCUUACCCUGUCGCUCAGGCUGGAGUGCAGUGGUGCUAUCUCAGCUCACCGCAACCUCCUCCUCCCGGCUCAAGCUGAUCCUCCCGCCUCAGCCUCCCGAGUAUCUGGGACUACUUUUUGUAGAGAUGGCGUCUUGCUAUGUUGCCCAGGCUGGUCUCAAACUCUCGGUCUCAAGCUCCUGGGCUCAAGAGAUCCUCCCAUCUGGGCCUCCCAAAGUUCUUAGGAUUACAGACGUGAGCUACUGUGCCUGGCUAGGGAAUAUUUUUGAAAGUAGAGUUCUUGCAGGCUAAAGGAGCAGGCAGCACAGAUGAGAGGAGACAUCUGAGUUGCUUUAAAAGGAAGGGCAAAAUGUGGUGACCAGAGAGGAAAGUGAAAAGCUUUCCAGCAGGCUCACGGCAGGAAAGGAGGGUCAGGACAGGGAACUAUGUGUACAGAUAUUGAGGUACAAAUAAGGUAAUCCACCCGCCUUGGCCUCCCAAAGUGCUGGGAUUACAGGUGUGAGCCACCAUGCCCAGCCAGAAACUGCCACUUUUAAACCAUCAGAUCUCAUUGAGAACUCCCUCACUAUCACGAGAACCGCAUGAGGGAAACCACCCCCAUGAUCUGAUCACCUCCCACCAGGUCCUGCCCUCAACAUGUGGGGAUUACAAUUCAAGAUGAGAUUUGGGUCAGGAAACAGAGCCAAACCAUAUCAAGAGCCUCUGGUAACCACUGUUCUACUCAAUACUUCUAUGAGGUGAACUUCUUUGGAUUCCACAUAUGAUCAAGAUCAUGAGGAAGGAGGAGCAAGUCUUCUUUGUCAUGCUAUUAAGAAAAUACCCAGAGUCACAGCACCAUGAUCUCCUUGUGAAGCAGAACAAGUAAUAUAAAACUGAUCUAAAGAGGCCUCCCCUCUACUCUUAUCUGUCUGGUCGAGUCAUUUGGGUCCAAGUGGGCACCAUUGUGGGAGGGUGGGAGGACUCAUCACUGGGGGCCCAGGCAUCAUUGGCAUGUGGCCUCCUGUGUUAGUUUGUUCUCAUGCUGCAAAUAAAGACAACUUGAGACUGGAUAAUU